CGCAAACCCUCCCCUUCUCUCAAACACUCUCUACUACUCAAACCCCAGUCACCCCUAACAUCUUCUCCGACCAAAUUCCACCGACGUCCAUGGCUUCUCAGGCCAUGAAUGGCAUGUGCUCUCUCCCCUUCACCCCAAAUGGUGGUGGUUCGAGGUUUUCGAGGUUCAACUAUAACAACGCCUUUCCAGAUCCUCCGCUGAUCUGAGUUUAUGUAGCUUCUUUGGAUCCAUUUCGAGGUAUUUGAGCCGUGAAAGGCCUAGCUAUGGCCCAAACCUGUUCGAGGCCAGAUCUUUUCCUAGCCUUCUCGUCUCUAUUCGAG
This 320-nucleotide long non-coding RNA is filed under the name Nicotiana benthamiana. RNAcentral's name for it is "long non-coding RNA (NBEN_LNC018139)". The record is from RNAcentral. Lineage: Eukaryota; Viridiplantae; Streptophyta; Magnoliopsida; Solanales; Solanaceae.